Molecule: ribosomal RNA, 365 nt
Filed under: uncultured Halomonas sp.
Lineage: Bacteria; Pseudomonadati; Pseudomonadota; Gammaproteobacteria; Oceanospirillales; Halomonadaceae
Description: bacterial SSU rRNA
Rfam family: Bacterial small subunit ribosomal RNA
Source: RNAcentral
GCCCGGUAGUGGGGGAUAACCUGGGGAAACCCAGGCUAAUACCGCAUACGUCCUACGGGAGAAAGCAGGGGAUCUUCGGACCUUGCGCUAUCGGAUGAGCCUAUGUCGGAUUAGCUUGUUGGUGAGGUAAUGGCUCACCAAGGCGACGAUCCGUAGCUGGUCUGAGAGGAUGAUCAGCCACAUCGGGACUGAGACACGGCCCGAACUCCUACGGGAGGCAGCAGUGGGGAAUAUUGGACAAUGGGCGAAAGCCUGAUCCAGCCAUGCCGCGUGUGUGAAGAAGGCUUUCGGGUUGUAAAGCACUUUCAGUGAGGAAGAAGGCCUUGGGGCUAAUACCCCCGAGGAAGGACAUCACCCACAGCGGG